UACGUAGGGGGCAAGCGUUGUCCGGAAUUAUUGGGCGUAAAGCGCGCGCAGGCGGCUGUUUAAGUCUUGUGUUUAAGACCGGAGCUCAACUCCGGUACGCACAGGAAACUGGACGGCUUGAGUGCAGAAGAGGAGAGUGGAAUUCCACGUGUAGCGGUGAAAUGCGUAGAGAUGUGGAGGAACACCAGUGGCGAAGGCGGCUCUCUGGCCUGUAACUGACGCUGAGGCGCGAAAGCGUGGGGAGCAAACAGG
RNAcentral lists this unclassified non-coding RNA (252 nucleotides) under uncultured Paenibacillaceae bacterium. RNAcentral describes it as "contains 16S-23S intergenic spacer region". It matches the Rfam family "Bacterial small subunit ribosomal RNA", at positions 524 to 776 of the family's 1533-position model. The record is from RNAcentral. Lineage: Bacteria; Bacillati; Bacillota; Bacilli; Caryophanales; Paenibacillaceae.